AAGUCGUAACAAGGUUUCCGUAGGUGAACCUGCGGAAGGAUCAUUAAAAGUAAUAUGUAUUCUCUCGAAUAUACAUUAUAAACCCAUCUGUGUAUCUUACCCGUUGCUUCCGCGAGGCAGUGAUCUCGGUCACCUCCGAACGACGGCGAAAGCUGUCCGACGGGGAGCACUCGCGGGAGGUAUACAUCAAACUCUUGCAUUUUUAUGUCAUCUGUCUGAACUGUUUAUAACAAAUGUUAAAACUUUCAACAACGGAUCUCUUGGUUCUC
RNAcentral lists this unclassified non-coding RNA (269 nucleotides) under Scutellinia scutellata. Its description in RNAcentral is "partial internal transcribed spacer region". The stretch from base 1 to 46 matches the Rfam family "Eukaryotic small subunit ribosomal RNA", at positions 1786 to 1831 of the family's 1831-position model. The record is from RNAcentral. Lineage: Eukaryota; Fungi; Ascomycota; Pezizomycetes; Pezizales; Pyronemataceae.